RNAcentral lists this ribosomal RNA (253 nucleotides) under uncultured bacterium. RNAcentral describes it as "partial 16S ribosomal RNA". It matches the Rfam family "Bacterial small subunit ribosomal RNA", at positions 524 to 776 of the family's 1533-position model. RNAcentral also lists the same sequence under 1 other name. The record is from RNAcentral.
UACGUAGGUGGCAAGCGUUGUCCGGAUUUAUUGGGUUUAAAGGGUGCGUAGGCGGUUCCAUAAGUCAGUGGUGAAAUACGGCAGCUCAACUGUCGAGGUGCCAUUGAUACUGCGGAACUUGAGUACUGAUGAGGUAGGCGGAAUUGACGGUGUAGCGGUGAAAUGCUUAGAUAUCGUCAAGAACACCGAUAGCGAAGGCAGCUUACCAAGGAGUAACUGACGCUCAGGCACGAAAGUGCGGGGAUCAAACAGG